GGGGCAUGCGAGGGCUGUCGCUGACUCAAAGUCGUGCACGCCCGAGUGUGUCGCCUCACAUAAUAAUCCAUCUCACCCUUUGUGCAUCACCGCGUGGGCACCCCUUUGGGAUCAUCUCGGAGGGGGCUCGCGUUUUCACACAAAACCCCCCUUUUAAAAGUGUAGAAUGACCUCAUUUAUGCGCUAACCCGCAAUCAAUACAACUUUCAACAACGGAUCUCUUGGCUCUCGCAUCGAUGAAGAACGCAGCGAAAUGCGAUACGUAAUGUGAAUUGCAGAAUUCAGUGAAUCAUCGAAUCUUUGAACGCACCUUGCGCCCCCUGGUAUUCCGAGGGGCACACCCGUUUGAGUGUCGUGAAAACCUCAACCUCCUUGGUUUCUUCUGGAGACCAAAGCAGGCUUGGACUUUGGAGGCCUUUGCUGGCACCUCUCGCCAGCUCCUCUUAAAUGAAUUAGCAGGGUCCUCUUUGCUGAUCCUCGACGUGUGAUAAGAUGUUUCCAUGUCUUGGUUUCUGGCUCUGUCACCUUUGGGACCCGCUUCUAACCGUCUUCAACCUUGCGUUGAGACAACGUUCGAGCAUGUCUCCCUUCUCGGGAAGCUCCCUCGACCCCACGAACCCNUGAC
Molecule: ribosomal RNA, 625 nt
Filed under: Lactarius sp. GAL18818
Lineage: Eukaryota; Fungi; Basidiomycota; Agaricomycetes; Russulales; Russulaceae
Description: eukaryotic LSU rRNA
Rfam family: 5.8S ribosomal RNA (bases 202-355)
Source: RNAcentral